Molecule: transfer RNA, 72 nt
Filed under: Hemidactylus almakhwah (Al Makhwah gecko)
Lineage: Eukaryota; Metazoa; Chordata; Lepidosauria; Squamata; Gekkonidae
Description: tRNA-Gln
Rfam family: tRNA
About the family: Transfer RNA (tRNA) molecules are approximately 80 nucleotides in length.
Source: RNAcentral
UAGGAGGUAGUAUAAUUGGUAGUACAUGAGAGUUUGAGUCUUGUGGUGCGGGUUCGUGUCCCGGCCUCUUAU